AUUGAACGCUGGCGGCAGGCCUAACACCUGAAAGUCGAGCGAGCGGCGGACGGGUGAGUAAUGUCUGGGAAACUGCCUGAUGGAGGGGGAUAACUACUGGAAACGGUAGCUAAUACAGCAUACCAUCAGAUGUGCCCAGAUGGGAGUAGAUAGGAGGUGGGGUAACGGCUCACCUAGGCGACGAGCCAUAGCUGGUCUGGGAGGAUGAACAGCCACACUUGAACUGAGACACGGUCCAGACUCCUACGGGAGGCAGCAGUGGGGAAUAUUGCACAAUGGGCGCAAGCCUGAUGCAGCCAUGCCGUGUGUGUGAAGAGGGCCUUCGGGUUGUAAAGCACUUUCAGUGGGGAGGCGUUACUCGCAGAAGAAGCACCGGCUAACUCCGUGCCAGCAGACGCGGUAAUAC
Molecule: ribosomal RNA, 406 nt
Filed under: uncultured bacterium
Lineage: Bacteria
Description: partial 16S ribosomal RNA
Rfam family: Bacterial small subunit ribosomal RNA
Source: RNAcentral